AAUCCAGAGAUGGAUUUGUGCCUUCGGGAACUGUGAGACAGGUGCUGCAUGGCUGUCGUCAGCUCGUGUUGUGAAAUGUUGGGUUAAGUCCCGCAACGAGCGCAACCCUUAUCCUUUGUUGCCAGCGAUUAGGUCGGGAACUCAAAGGAGACUGCCAGUGAUAAACUGGAGGAAGGUGGGGAUGACGUCAAGUCAUCAUGGCCCUUACGACCAGGGCUACACACGUGCUACAAUGGCGCAUACAAAGAGAAGCGACCUCGCGAGAGCAAGCGGACCUCAUAAAGUGCGUCGUAGUCCGGAUUGGAGUCUGCAACUCGACUCCAUGAAGUCGGAAUCGCUAGUAAUCGUGGAUCAGAAUGCCACGGUGAAUACGUUCCCGGGCCUUGUACACACCGCCCGUCACACCAUGGGAGUGGGUUGCAAAAGAAGUAGGUAGCUUAACCUUCGGGAGGGCGCUUACCACUUUGUGAUUCAUGACUGGGGUGAAGUCGUAACA
Molecule: ribosomal RNA, 496 nt
Filed under: Salmonella enterica subsp. enterica serovar Typhimurium
Lineage: Bacteria; Pseudomonadati; Pseudomonadota; Gammaproteobacteria; Enterobacterales; Enterobacteriaceae
Description: bacterial SSU rRNA
Rfam family: Bacterial small subunit ribosomal RNA
Source: RNAcentral